AUGAUUUGUAAUUCUGAUUUUGAAAUGAACAAUUGCGAUUCUGACUUCGCUUUUACUUGUAAUAGCACGAUGCCUGUUUCUGAACUCGUAGCAAAUUUCCUUUUCAAACUCUAUUGUGAACCAAAGAUUGGAUUUGUGAUUUGUAAUAGAGGUCACAGGAUAAUGAUUGGACCAAAAUUUUGA
Molecule: non-coding RNA, 183 nt
Organism: Vicia faba (fava bean)
Lineage: Eukaryota; Viridiplantae; Streptophyta; Magnoliopsida; Fabales; Fabaceae
Source: the annotation of a GenBank genome assembly